RNAcentral lists this ribosomal RNA (119 nucleotides) under Pteropus alecto (black flying fox). The record is from RNAcentral. Lineage: Eukaryota; Metazoa; Chordata; Mammalia; Chiroptera; Pteropodidae.
AUCUAUAGCCAUGCUACCCUGAACAAGCUCGAUCCUGUCUGAUCUUGGAAGCUAAGCAGGGUAGGGCCUGGUUAGUAUUUGGAUGGGAGACAACCUAGUAAGACCAGGUGCUGUAGGCA